AAAGCAGGGGAUCGUAAGACCUGCGCUAUUGGAGCGGCCGAUGUCUGAUUAGCUAGUUGGUGGGGUAAUGGCCUACCAAGGCGACGAUCAGUAGCUGGUCUGAGAGGACGACCAGCCACACUGGGACUGAGACACGGCCCAGACUCCUACGGGAGGCAGCAGUGGGGAAUUUUGGACAAUGGGCGCAAGCCUGAUCCAGCCAUGCCGCGUGAGUGAAGAAGGCCUUCGGGUUGUAAAGCUCUUUCGGCCGGAAAGAAAUCGUUCAGGCUAAUACCCUGAAUUGAUGACGGUACCGAGAGAAGAAGCACCGGCUAACUACGUGCCAGCAGCCGCGGUAAUACGUAGGGUGCAAGCGUUAAUCGGAAUUACUGGGCGUAAAGGGUGCGCAGGCGGCUUUCUAAGUCAGAUGUGAAAUCCCCGGGCUUAACCUGGGAACUGCGUUUGAAACUACAAGGCUAGA
This 460-nucleotide ribosomal RNA is filed under the name uncultured ammonia-oxidizing beta proteobacterium. RNAcentral describes it as "bacterial SSU rRNA". It matches the Rfam family "Bacterial small subunit ribosomal RNA", at positions 202 to 645 of the family's 1533-position model. The record is from RNAcentral. Lineage: Bacteria; Pseudomonadati; Pseudomonadota; Betaproteobacteria.